UGCGACAAAGGUAAACUUAGCGAAAGCUAAAGACGCAAAGCUAUGGGCCUAACAGAUUAUGCUGAUGGUUGCCAAGCUGCCGAAA
This is a regulatory RNA element of Lutispora thermophila DSM 19022, 85 nucleotides long. It matches the Rfam family "c-di-GMP-I-GGC riboswitch aptamer". NCBI's taxonomy places the organism in Bacteria, Bacillati, Bacillota, Clostridia, Lutisporales, Lutisporaceae. The record is from Rfam.